GUACCGAAUAAAACUGACCCGAUCGAGACGCAUAGCUAAUGGAACAGCUGGUCAUCCCCGUUAAUCGGAAUUACUGGGCGUAAACGCGCGUAGGUGGUUCGUUAAGUUGGAUGUGAAAUCCCCGGGCUCAACCUGGGAACUGCAUCCAAAACUGGCGAGCAAGAGUAUGGUAGAGGGUGGUGGAAUUUCCUGUGUAGCGGUGAAAUGCGUAGAUAUAGGAAGGAACACCAGUGGCGAAGGCGACCACCUGACUGAUACUGACACUGAGGUGCGAAAGCGUGGGAGCAAACAGGAUUAGAUACCCUGGUAGUCCACGCCGUAAACGAUGUCAACUAGCCGUUGGGAGCCUUGAGCUCUUAGUGGCGCAGCUAACGCAUUAAGUUGACCGCCUGGGGAGUACGGCCGCAAGGUUAAAACUCAAAUGAAUUGACGGGGGCCCGCACAAGCGGUGGAGCAUGUGGUUUAAUUCGGAAGCAACGCGAAGAACCUUACCAGGCCUUGACAUCCAAUGAACUUUCCAGAGAUGGAUUGGUGCCUUCGGGAACAUUGAGACAGGUGCUGCAUGGCUGUCGUCAGCUCGUGUCGUGAGAUGUUACC
This 597-nucleotide ribosomal RNA is filed under the name uncultured Pseudomonas sp. Its description in RNAcentral is "bacterial SSU rRNA". It matches the Rfam family "Bacterial small subunit ribosomal RNA", at positions 475 to 1079 of the family's 1533-position model. The record is from RNAcentral. Lineage: Bacteria; Pseudomonadati; Pseudomonadota; Gammaproteobacteria; Pseudomonadales; Pseudomonadaceae.